RNAcentral lists this long non-coding RNA (3578 nucleotides) under Medicago truncatula (barrel medic). Its description in RNAcentral is "long non-coding RNA (MTRU_LNC008459)". The record is from RNAcentral. Lineage: Eukaryota; Viridiplantae; Streptophyta; Magnoliopsida; Fabales; Fabaceae.
UCGGUAAAACAUAAUAAUUCAUCGGAGCAGAAUAUUUUCAACAUUAAACAACUUCCUAUAAAUUCUGGCACAUGGCCUAAACAUAAAAUAUCUUUAAAGAUUUAAUCAAACACCAACAAGUUCAUAAUGAUACAUAAGGAAUGAUGAAUAUGACGACAAAUUAUCCUCUUCCCGUUACGUAUCAGAGCUCCUAAGACACACGUGAGGUAAAUCCACUCACAACAGCAAAUAACAGCAACUAUCAGCUACUACUCUGGAUCACCUGCAAGUUACCCAUAUGAAGGGCAACAUUUCCAAGCAGAAGGGGUGAGAUUCACAAACAAUAGUAAUAGAUAUAUAUAGAUUAUCAACUGUACUUAACAACUUAAUUCAAUAACAUAAUUAGCAACAUAUAUCCAAUAAUAAUGUUCAUACUUCUUCAAUUUUAAUAACACUUACUAAUCCAAUCAACAACGACGACACGACAAUAUUCAACAACAACUACCACAACUCACUCAACAACAACUACAACAUCUUACUCAACAAUAACUACAACAACUCACUCAACAACAUCUACAACAUCUUACUCAACAAACACCUAAAACAACAAGAUUCAACCAACAACUACAAUAUGCAUGUGGUGCAAUUUUCAAUGUGUUGAAUGACUAAGCAUUCCAGGGCAUAAGCCCUCAACAGUUGAAUGACAAAGCAUUCCAGGGCAUAAGCCCUCAACAGUUUUUGAGUUUACAAUGACCUCGACUUUGUGUAUAUCAACAUACAACUCUCCUACAACAACGACAACAACUCCUACUACACAACAAUGCAUAUUUAUUCAUGACUUACACCUCAACAUUGUCAAUUCGUGACACAACAACCUUUGCACAAUGGUAUUCAAAAUCUUGUAUAAUUUAUUUAAAUAUAAAUAUACAUCAAACAACAAACAACAAUCAAUCAUAUUCAUCAACAUAUACAUUCAUAUAAUAAUUCAUCAUUAUCCAAAAAUUAUAUAAUAAAUAAUAAUAACUUUUUAUCACUAUUAUUAUAAAAUUAAGAGAAAUCACACAUUACUAAUUGACGUAAUAAAUCAUAUGAUGCAUAUUAAUUACUGGAGCAAGAUCAAAAUGUCCUUUUAAAACUUUAAUUGGUUCCAGCACAUGUGAAUUUCAAUUCGGAUCAAUUGAUAUCAAAUAUUUAUUCUAAGUUAAAAGUAAGUCUAAGCCUAAAUUCAUUCAUAUUACUAGGCCAUGAAAAACAUAUACUUUGUCAGCCGCAACACCAAAAUAGAAAUUAUGAAUAUGAUUUCAUCUUUUAUUAGACUCAUAAACUAUAAUUCUAAAUGCUAUUUAUGCAUAAACCAAAGAGCACACUAAAUUCAUGAAGAAUAGACCAAUAGCAUUGAAAUUCUAGCACAAUACAUGGCAAUUUAACAAUAAGGAAAUAAAAUGAAAACUAAAAUUGAUUUCCGAUUUACGUACGAUACUGAAUUCAGCCCUAAAAGAAUAGCUCAAACAAAACUCAUAAACAUGAUGUAAAACAAAACCGAAUAGCACAUAUUGAAACAGAAGUAACCACAAAAACAUUAAAACAAAUCGAAGUCUAAAGAUAGCAAAACCACAUUAAUUAUUAUCCAAAAUCUAUAAUCAAUAUAUCAAAAUCACAGUAACGACAUAGAGCACAAAUUUAACAAGGAUUUCAUAGAACUCUUAACCCUAACCCCAAAUUCUAAAAUUAAUCAGAACCUUUGCUAAAACAGAAUCAUAAUUAUAUAGACUAUAACUAUUGAGAGUUAGCCUCACCCUUACCUUGAAUUGAUGAACAAGCUCUACGAAAAUCAGUUUCUCCCCUCUUGGCUCUCCUCUUGGUUUUUCUCCCAAAACUCUGUUGUACGUGAAAACUGCUUUUGACUUCUAUUUUUUAAUUUUCUCAAUAAAUAUAACUUCCCAAUAUUUAAUUAACUCCCACCUAAUUCACUUAAUUCUCAUUUAACCCCAAAACUCCAAUUAAAUCCUAAUUCUCACUUAUUCUAUUAAAUAAUAAAAAUAGUCAUUUAAUAAAAUACACCACACCACAAAAUCAACAUAAAUAAUUUAAAAUCAUAUAAAAUACUAAAAAUAAUAAAAUAACAAUUAGGGCGUUACACAGAAGCAAACAAACGAACUUCAAAGACAAAGAGAACAAUGAAUCAUUCCUUAACAAGAAAAGGACUCCUCUUUGACUAUGCAACGACAUUAUCCAAAUGAGGUAAAGAUUUCAAACUUGGAUCAACUUCUCAAGGAAGGUUCAAUGCCUUGACAUAUUUAAACACAACGAAUCUGUUUCAAAUCUCUCCUAUAUAAGGACAUCAACCGUUUGAAGAUAAUAAUUGACUUCAUACACUUAGAUAUAUUCAAAAGUUUCAUAUGUUAGAAUUUCUUAAGUUAUAGAAGUCAUUUGAACUUAAUUGUAGUUUACAACUCUUCGAGUACAGAGUGUAAACAUUUACAUACAUCAUUGUAAAACUCUGAUUUGUAGAAGUCCUCUUGUGUGAGGCAAGCAAGUCUCUGACUUGUGUCUUAGAGCAAUUGUAUUCUUGUGUGAUUAUAGUGUAAAUCCCUUGAAAUUGUAAGGGGACUGAACUAACCUCUGUUUGUCGGGUGAACUAGUAUAAUUGCUUGUGUUGUCUUCUCUCUCUCUGAUCCUCUAAAUCUCUUUACUCCUUAGUAUUGUUAAAACACUUUGAAAAUAUUUUCUGAAAAAACCAACACAAUUCAACCCCCCUUCUUUUGUUUUCUCACCUUUAGCUUGCAUCAGAGCACCUGGUCUAUUUCUUUACACUUAACAAUGUGACAACUAAAAGAUCCUACGAAAAAUAUGUCUUCUGAUAUUAUUGCCACUUCCAAUGACAAUUCUGGUAAUCAUGUUUUGAGUCAUGAUUACAACAACACCAACUCCACCUCUAAUAAAAACUUUUACUCAGCUAGACCUCCAUCUUUCAAUGGAGAUGUUGAAUAAUUUUGUUGACGAGGCUAAUUUUGUUGUUUCUCCAACAGUUGCUUGCGAUUGGAGGUUUAUAGCAUGCGUUGCAAUUUGGGUAAAAGCUGAAAUUUGGUUUAUAACAUGAUCUUGGCUGAGGUUGGUCUUGUGGUUUCAUGACUUUUCUUCUGGAUUCUUGAAUAAAAUUUCAUAUGACUAACUACUUCUACUCUUAAUUGACUCUAAAAGAUUAUUAGAAAUCCUAUAUAUUUUUUUUUUGUCAUUAGUGGUUAUAUGUAUUGUUUACCACAAAAGGUUAAGAGGCUUAAAGAAGCUCUUAAAGAUUGGAAUAGAACUACUUUCGAUAAUAUUCAUAAUAAUGUGAUUGUGGUCAUUUAUGAGGUCAAUCGAAUUAAUCAUAUUUUUCAUAGCCAUGAUAGGUGAUACCAAGUAGAAAAUGUCUAUUUUAUUUUUUUGAGUUUCGAACUCAAUUAUUUUGUAAAAUUAUUGGUUGUGAAUACUAUUUUAGAAAUUGUAGGUUUUGAAAAGCAAAAAAAAUCCAAUAUUCUCUUAGUUUGUGAAUAUCUCGAUAUUAAGAAUGUUUGCUAAAUAAACCUGUUCACUUUGACUCAAAGAGAUUUUAAAAG